ACACUGGGGGAUAACAGUUAGAAAUGACUGCUAAUACCGCAUAAGCGCACAGUACCGCAUGGUACGGUGUGAAAAACUCCGGUGGUGUGAGAUGGAUCCGCGUCUGAUUAGCCAGUUGGCGGGGUAACGGCCCACCAAAGCGACGAUCAGUAGCCGACCUGAGAGGGUGACCGGCCACAUUGGGACUGAGACACGGCCCAAACUCCUACGGGAGGCAGCAGUGGGGAAUAUUGCACAAUGGGCGAAAGCCUGAUGCAGCGACGCCGCGUGAGUGAAGAAGUAUUUCGGUAUGUAAAGCUCUAUCAGCAGGGAAGAAAAUGACGGUACCUGACUAAGAAGCCCCGGCUAACUACGUGCCAGCAGCCGCGGUAAUACGUAGGGGGCAAGCGUUAUCCGGAUUUACUGGGUGUAAAGGGAGCGUAGACGGCGAAGCAAGUCUGAAGUGAAAACCCAGGGCUCAACCCUGGGACUGCUUUGGAAACUGUUUUGCUAGAGUGUCGGAGAGGUAAGUGGAUUCCUAGUGUAGCGGUGAAUGCGUAGAUAUUAGGAGGAACACCAGUGGCGAAGGCGGCUUACUGGACGAU
This 584-nucleotide ribosomal RNA is filed under the name uncultured Lachnospiraceae bacterium. RNAcentral describes it as "bacterial SSU rRNA". It matches the Rfam family "Bacterial small subunit ribosomal RNA", at positions 133 to 737 of the family's 1533-position model. Lineage: Bacteria; Bacillati; Bacillota; Clostridia; Lachnospirales; Lachnospiraceae. The record is from RNAcentral.